RNAcentral lists this ribosomal RNA (495 nucleotides) under uncultured bacterium. Its description in RNAcentral is "partial 16S ribosomal RNA". It matches the Rfam family "Bacterial small subunit ribosomal RNA", at positions 28 to 507 of the family's 1533-position model. The record is from RNAcentral.
GACGAACGCUGGCGGCGUGCCUAAUACAUGCAAGUAGAACGCUGAAGGAGGAGCUUGCUUCUCUGGAUGAGUUGCGAACGGGUGAGUAACGCGUAGGUAACCUGCCUGGUAGCGGGGGAUAACUAUUGGAAACGAUAGCUAAUACCGCAUAAGAGUAGAUGUUGCAUGACAUUUGCUUAAAAGGUGCAAUUGCAUCACUACCAGAUGGACCUGCGUUGUAUUAGCUAGUUGGUGGGGUAACGGCUCACCAAGGCGACGAUACGUAGCCGACCUGAGAGGGUGAUCGGCCACACUGGGACUGAGACACGGCCCAGACUCCUACGGGAGGCAGCAGUAGGGAAUCUUCGGCAAUGGACGGAAGUCUGACCGAGCAACGCCGCGUGAGUGAAGAAGGUUUUCGGAUCGUAAAGCUCUGUUGUAAGAGAAGAACGAGUGUGAGAGUGGAAAGUUCACACUGUGACGGUAUCUUACCAGAAAGGGACGGCUAACUACGUG